AAUGCCGCGUGGGUGAAGAAGGCCUUCGGGUUGUAAAGCCCUUUUGUACGGGAAGAAAUCCCAUUCGUUAAUACCGGGUGGGGAUGACGGUACCGUAAGAAUAAGCACCGGCUAACUUCGUGCCAGCAACCUCGGUGACUGAGCGGGCUGGCAAGGCGCAUA
This 162-nucleotide ribosomal RNA is filed under the name uncultured bacterium. RNAcentral describes it as "partial 16S ribosomal RNA". It matches the Rfam family "Bacterial small subunit ribosomal RNA", at positions 393 to 539 of the family's 1533-position model. The record is from RNAcentral.